CCCUUAGAUGUCCUGGGCCGCACGCGUGCUACACUGACGCCUACAGCGAGUACUUCCCAGCCCCGAGAGGCGGCUGGUAAUCAGCAAUAGGCGUCGUGAUGGGGAUAGAUCUUUGGAAUUCUGGAUCUUGAACGAGGAAUGCCUAGUAAGCGCAGGUCAUUAGCCUGCGCUGAUUACGUCCCUGCCCUUUGUACACACCGCCCGUCGCACCUACCGAUUGAAUGGUCCGGUGAAAUCCUCGGAUCGAGCUGCGGGGCAACCCCGGUUCGAGAAGUUGAUUAAACCUUACCAUUUAGAGGAAGGUGAAGUCGUANCA
Molecule: ribosomal RNA, 316 nt
Filed under: uncultured eukaryote
Lineage: Eukaryota
Description: partial 18S ribosomal RNA
Rfam family: Eukaryotic small subunit ribosomal RNA
Source: RNAcentral